AUUGAACGCUGGCGGCAUGCCUUACACAUGCAAGUCGAACGGCAGCAUGGGAGCAAUCCUGGCGGCGAGUGGCGUACGGGUGAGUAAUACAUCGGAACGUGCCCAGUCGUGGGGGAUAACGCAGCGAAAGCUGUGCUAAGACCGCAUAGGAUCUGCGUAUGAAAGCAGGGGACCGCAAGGCCUUGCCGGAUUGGAGCGGCCCAUGGCAGAUGAGGUAGUUGGUGGGGUAAAGGCUCACCAAGCCUGCGAUCUGUAGCUGGUCUGAGAGGACGACCAGCCACACUGGGACUGAGACACGGCCCAGACUCCUACGGGAGGCAGCAGUGGGGAAUUUUGGACAAUGGGCGCAAGCCUGAUCCAGCCAUGCCGCGUGCAGGAUGAAGGCCUUCGGGUUGUAAACUGCUUUUGUACGGAACGAAAAGACCUUUUCUAAUAAAGAGGGCUCAUGACGGUACCGUAAGAAUAAGCACCGGCUAACUACGUGCCAGCCGCCGCCGUAA
This 500-nucleotide ribosomal RNA is filed under the name uncultured bacterium. RNAcentral's name for it is "partial 16S ribosomal RNA". It matches the Rfam family "Bacterial small subunit ribosomal RNA", at positions 30 to 523 of the family's 1533-position model. The record is from RNAcentral.